UUUAAAUGUAAAAUAUAUUACUAAAGUAGUAUUAGUUAUGGUCUUGAAAUUUAAAGAUUUUGGCGGUAUUUUAGUCUAUUUAGAGGAACCUGUUCUGUAAUUGAUAAUCCACGAUUAAUUAUACUUAAUUUAAAAAUUUGUAUACCGUCGUUAUAAGAAAAUUUUAUUAGAAUAUAAAUUUUUAAUAUUUUAAAUUAAAAAAUAUAUCAGAUCAAGGUGCAGUAGAUAGUUAAGUAGAAAUGGGUUACAAUAAAUGUAUUUAUAUGGAUUGAAGUGAGAAUAAACUUUAUAAAAGUGGAUUUAAUAGUAAUAAAAUUUAAUUAAAUUUUAUGAUUUUAGCUCUAAAAUAUGC
Molecule: ribosomal RNA, 352 nt
Filed under: Eucamptognathus androyanus
Lineage: Eukaryota; Metazoa; Arthropoda; Insecta; Coleoptera; Carabidae
Description: partial 12S ribosomal RNA
Source: RNAcentral